AUGGGCAGCCUGGCCCCCCUGGACAGAAGGGGCAGCCGGGGGUUCCUGGGGUUCCAGGACCACCAGGUUCUCCAGGGCCACCAGGAAUCUCCAUCAAGGGUGAACCAGGGGAUUCAGGAAUCAGGGGUCCCCGUGGGAGGAGUGGCCUCAAAGGUGACAGAGGAGACACAGGAGAGCCAGGAAAACCUGGUUUGCCAGGCCCUGUGGGGCUCCAUGGGGUUCCUGGACUGCCUGGACCACAAGGAGAAAAGGGAAUGGCAGGAAUUGGCAUUCCUGGCACUGCUGGCAUGAAGGGGGAGGAAGGAGAGCAGGUGGGCUGAGAUUUGCAUUAAAAUCCUCUCAGAGUGUUCAGCGUCUCCAAAGUCUCCUCCAAUAUUUAGGAUUUCCUUGGGAUCCCGUGGUUCCACAUGGAGAGGGUGAGAGAAGGGAAGAUUUAGGGUUUAAAAUCAGAGAUUUCACUGUUUCCUCUGUUGUUUUCAGGGAAUGAUGGGACCUCCAGGAGCACCAGGACCAAAGGUGGGUGCUGAAAGCCUGAACCCCAGUUGCUGGGCCUGGAAUUCAGGUUCCAAGGAAAUUUUCUGUCCCUAACCAGCAUCAUAAUGAAUCAUCAUAGUAAUUUCUGUGGGAAUUAUUGGAU
This 637-nucleotide long non-coding RNA is filed under the name Ficedula albicollis (Collared flycatcher). RNAcentral describes it as "lncRNA (ENSFALG00000025437.1)". The record is from RNAcentral. Lineage: Eukaryota; Metazoa; Chordata; Aves; Passeriformes; Muscicapidae.